GUUUUUGAGUAUACCUAUAACUCUGACGGGGUGAACUCCAUGAACAUUCACUCCAAGAACCGGAACAGUACCAAAAACACAAUGCGGUUUUCUUUGGAAAAUGUUAGGGACAGAACUAUCCAGUUACUUAGAGCUUGUGUGGUCAUCACGCAGGCAUACGCAACACAGUUUUCAAACAUUAAUUAUGUUUGCUUGCGCCUUUAUUACAAUGAAAAUGUACCAGCGGACUACAAAGCACCAGGUUACGUGAGAACGAAAGAAGACCACCUGAAGCCAACAAUUCAAGACAAACUAAAACUUGGUUGGGUGGAAACGCCAUACCAUAAAAUUGUGACUUACUCCUUCUAUAAGCAACCUACUAGCUAUGAGGCAAAUCCAACAGAGAAUCCACCAGAGCAAGUGCUUACUAAUGAUAUGGAACUAUCAGGUACUGUUGAGAUGUCGCAACCCAAGAGGGAUGGAGGGUUAAACGGACACGCUCGUGUCCGUUAAUAUUGUCCCUGCAACAAGUAUGGGCCAUGUGACGCCUUUACCCAAACUGAAUUGUUAACUUGUCACUACUGCAAGCUCCAACAGCACGCAGCGUGUUUUGGCGUAGUUCGUCACUUGGCAUCUCGAGUGACGGAACACUGUUGUUCGAAAUGUUAUGAUGUCGAUACAACCCGUACUCCUACUGAUACUAAAUUGGUUUCCUUGACUAUGAGGAAACGGGAGAGUCUAUGCAUUUUACGUCGAACAUUGGAGCUGUGUUCGGAAGUCGCACCAUUGGAGCCCGGGACUUGAUGGACAAAUUCGAUAUAUCUGAGUCCAACGCUGCUAAUCUAAUGCAGUUACUUCAUUCCAAUAAAAUUAUCCAACAAAAUUCACAAUCCAAACGUCAAAAAAUAGAAAAGAAUCAGUUAAAAAUAUUGAUGUCCAACUUCUUCCACACUACCGAGGAUAACAUAGUCGAUCUACUAUUAACCGAAUUCGCUUCCCAAGAAAGUGUACCAGAUCCCAUUUCUAGAGCUCUAAAUGUCACGGAAAAGAUUUCAAUCAAGAGAAAAGAGAAACGAGCUCAAAAAAGAAGCAUUGAGAUUGAAGAUAAGGCAAUGAUCGCCAGGACUGGUGUUAAAUUUAAAUUGGCUAGAGUUGUACUAAAAAGAUUGUUGAUAUAAUGAAAAUGUAAAUGAUGUUGAUGAAAGCUGUAAAAGAGUCCAUUGAAAAGUUACAUUUGGGGUUGCGUUUUUUAGAGGACGCAAUUUUAUUUUUUUAAUGUGUAGGGGGGGUCAGUGAGAAGCUAAAACCAAGUUUGUGGGGUCGCCACCCUUGUCC
Colias croceus (clouded yellow) is the source of this 1314-nucleotide RNA transcript. RefSeq lists it as uncharacterized. Lineage: Eukaryota; Metazoa; Arthropoda; Insecta; Lepidoptera; Pieridae. The transcript has 7 exons. The record is from RefSeq and is a predicted model, not a curated record.